UACGUAGGGUGCGAGCGUUUAUCCGGAAUUACUGGGCGUAAAGAGCUCGUAGGUGGUUUGUCGCGUUGUCCGUGAAAACUCACAACUCAAUUGUGGGCGUGCGGGCGAUACGGGCAGACUGGAGUACUGCAGGGGAGACUGGAAUUCCUGGUGUAGCGGUGGAAUGCGCAGAUAUCAGGAGGAACACCGGUGGCGAAGGCGGGUCUCUGGGCAGUAACUGACGCUGAGGAGCGAAAGCGUGGGGAGCGAACAGG
Molecule: ribosomal RNA, 254 nt
Filed under: uncultured bacterium
Lineage: Bacteria
Description: partial 16S ribosomal RNA
Rfam family: Bacterial small subunit ribosomal RNA
Source: RNAcentral